Molecule: ribosomal RNA, 640 nt
Filed under: Phaonia perdita
Lineage: Eukaryota; Metazoa; Arthropoda; Insecta; Diptera; Muscidae
Description: partial 16S ribosomal RNA
Rfam family: Bacterial large subunit ribosomal RNA
Source: RNAcentral
AAAGAACUCGGCAAAAUUAUAAUGUUCGCCUGUUUAACAAAAACAUGUCUUUUUGAAUUGAAUUUAAAGUCUAACCUGCCCACUGAAUAUUUAAAUGGCCGCAGUAUAUUAACUGUGCAAAGGUAGCAUAAUCAUUAGUCUUUUAAUUGAAGGCUGGAAUGAAUGGUUGGACGAGGCAUUAACUGUUUCAUAUAAAUUUAUAAUAGAAUUUUAUUUUUUAGUCAAAAAGCUAAAAUAAAUUUAAAAGACGAGAAGACCCUAUAAAUCUUUAUAUUUAGGUUAUUAUGAUUUAUUAGAUAGUUUUUAUUAUAAUAAUUUAUAAUAUUUUAUUGGGGUGAUAUUAAAAUUUAAUAAACUUUUAAUUUUUAUUUACAUUAAUUUAUGAAUUAUUGAUCUAUUAUUAAUGAUUAAAAAAUUAAGUUACUUUAGGGAUAACAGCGUAAUUUUUUUGAAGAGUUCUUAUCGAUAAAAAAGAUUGCGACCUCGAUGUUGGAUUAAGAUAUAGUUUUAGGUGUAGGUGCUUAAAUUUUAAGUCUGUUCGACUUUUAAAUUCUUACAUGAUCUGAGUUCAAACCGGUGUAAGCCAGGUUGGUUUCUAUCUUUAAAAAUUUUUAAUAUUUUAGUACGAAAGGAUUUAAUA